RNAcentral lists this ribosomal RNA (292 nucleotides) under uncultured bacterium. Its description in RNAcentral is "partial 16S ribosomal RNA". It matches the Rfam family "Bacterial small subunit ribosomal RNA", at positions 505 to 796 of the family's 1533-position model. The record is from RNAcentral.
GUUUCAGCAGCCGCGGUAAUACGUAGGGGGCAAGCGUUGUCCGGAUUUAUUGGGCGUAAAGAGCGUGUAGGCGGCCAAGCAGGUCCGCUGUGAAAACUCGAGGCUCAACCUCGAGAGGUCGGUGGAAACCGUUUGGCUAGAGUCCGGAAGAGGAGAGUGGAAUUCCCGGUGUAGCGGUGAAAUGCGCAGAUAUCGGGAAGAACACCCGUGGCGAAGGCGGCUCUCUGGGACGGUACUGACGCUGAGACGCGAAAGCGUGGGGAGCGAACAGGAUUAGAAACCCCUGUAGUCC